This 604-nucleotide ribosomal RNA is filed under the name Salmonella enterica subsp. enterica serovar Berta. RNAcentral's name for it is "partial 23S ribosomal RNA". It matches the Rfam family "Bacterial large subunit ribosomal RNA", at positions 22 to 666 of the family's 2925-position model. Lineage: Bacteria; Pseudomonadati; Pseudomonadota; Gammaproteobacteria; Enterobacterales; Enterobacteriaceae. RNAcentral also lists the same sequence under 1 other name. The record is from RNAcentral.
CGGUGGAUGCCCUGGCAGUCAGAGGCGAUGAAGGGCGUGCUAAUCUGCGAUAAGCGCCGGUAAGGUGAUAUGAACCGUUAUAACCGGCGAUACCCGAAUGGGGAAACCCAGUGUGAUUCGUCACACUAUCAUUAACUGAAUCCAUAGGUUAAUGAGGCGAACCGGGGGAACUGAAACAUCUAAGUACCCCGAGGAAAAGAAAUCAACCGAGAUUCCCCCAGUAGCGGCGAGCGAACGGGGAGGAGCCCAGAGCCUGAAUCAGCAUGUGUGUUAGUGGAAGCGUCUGGAAAGGCGCGCGAUACAGGGUGACAGCCCCGUACACAAAAGCGCAUGUGCUGUGAGCUCGAUGAGUAGGGCGGGACACGUGGUAUCCUGUCUGAAUAUGGGGGGACCAUCCUCCAAGGCUAAAUACUCCUGACUGACCGAUAGUGAACCAGUACCGUGAGGGAAAGGCGAAAAGAACCCCGGCGAGGGGAGUGAAAAAGAACCUGAAACCGUGUACGUACAAGCAGUGGGAGCACAGGUUUACCUGUGUGACUGCGUACCUUUUGUAUAAUGGGUCAGCGACUUAUAUUCUGUAGCAAGGUUAACCGAAUAGGGGAGC